GCCUGGGUGGCUCAGUGGUUGAGCAUCUGCCUUCAGCUCAGGAUGCGAUCCCAGGAUCAAAUCCUGCAUUGGGCU
This 75-nucleotide transfer RNA is filed under the name Canis lupus familiaris (dog). It matches the Rfam family "tRNA". From Rfam's summary of the family: Transfer RNA (tRNA) molecules are approximately 80 nucleotides in length. Their secondary structure includes four short double-helical elements and three loops (D, anti-codon, and T loops). Further hydrogen bonds mediate the characteristic L-shaped molecular structure. tRNAs have two regions of fundamental functional importance: the anti-codon, which is responsible for specific mRNA codon recognition, and the 3' end, to which the tRNAs corresponding amino acid is attached (by aminoacyl-tRNA synthetases). tRNAs cope with the degeneracy of the genetic code in two manners: having more than one tRNA (with a specific anti-codon) for a particular amino acid; and 'wobble' base-pairing, i.e. permitting non-standard base-pairing at the 3rd anti-codon position. Lineage: Eukaryota; Metazoa; Chordata; Mammalia; Carnivora; Canidae. The record is from Rfam by way of RNAcentral. RNAcentral also lists the same sequence under 1 other name.